RNAcentral lists this ribosomal RNA (775 nucleotides) under uncultured bacterium. Its description in RNAcentral is "bacterial SSU rRNA". It matches the Rfam family "Bacterial small subunit ribosomal RNA", at positions 53 to 817 of the family's 1533-position model. The record is from RNAcentral.
GCAUGCAGUCGAGCGGUAGCUCCUAUUGGUUAAAGCCGAUAGGAGUGAGAGCGGCGCACGGGUGAGUAACACGUAGGUAACCUACCCCAGAGAGGGGGAUAACACCUCGAAAGGGGUGCUAAACCCCCAUAUACUUACCGAGCGAGAUGCUCAGGUAAGGAAAGGGUAUAGAGGGGUAACCCUCUAUGCUGCUCUGGGAUGGGCCUGCGGCCUAUCAGCUAGUUGGUGGGGUAAAGGCCCACCAAGGCUAAGACGGGUAGCCGGCCUGAGAGGGUGGUCGGCCACACUGGGACUGAGACACGGCCCAGACUCCUACGGGAGGCAGCAGCCGGGAAUCUUCCGCAAUGGGGGAAACCCUGACGGAGCGACGCCGCGUGAGGGAAGAAGCCCUUCGGGGUGUAAACUUCUUUUCUCGGGGAAGAAGGCAUGACGGUACCCGAGGAAAAAGCCCCGGCUAACUACGUGCCAGCAGCCGCGGUAAGACGUAGGGGGCGAGCGUUGUCCGGAUUUACUGGGCGUAAAGGGCGUGUAGGCGGCUUAGCAAGUCAGAUGUGGAAGCCCCGGGCUCAACUCGGGGAGGACAUCUGAUACUGCUAAGCUAGAGGGCAGGAGAGGAGAGCGGAACUUCCGGUGUAGCGGUGAAAUGCGUAGAUAUCGGAAGGAACGCCGGUGGCGAAGGCGGCUCUCUGGACUGUCCCUGACGCUGAGGCGCGAAAGCUAGGGGAGCGAACGGGAUUAGAUACCCCGGUAGUCCUAGCCGUAAACGAUGGGCACU